This 91-nucleotide small nuclear RNA is filed under the name Aotus nancymaae (Ma's night monkey). Lineage: Eukaryota; Metazoa; Chordata; Mammalia; Primates; Aotidae. The record is from RNAcentral.
GUGCUUGCUUUGAUAGCACAUCUACUACAAUUGGAACAAUACUGGGAAGAUGAGUAUGGUCCCUAUAAAUAAAGAAAAAUAAUUUUUUUGU